This 254-nucleotide ribosomal RNA is filed under the name uncultured bacterium. RNAcentral describes it as "partial 16S ribosomal RNA". It matches the Rfam family "Bacterial small subunit ribosomal RNA", at positions 524 to 776 of the family's 1533-position model. The record is from RNAcentral.
UACGUAGGGGGCGAGCGUUGUCCGGAUUUAUUGGGCGUAAAGAGCUCGUAGGCGGUUCGAUAAGUCGGACGUGAAAUCUCCACGCUCAACGUGGAGGGGCCGUUCGAUACUGUCGUGACUCGAGUCCGGUAGGGGAGUGUGGAAUUCCCGGUGUAGCGGUGAAAUGCGCAGAGAUCGGGAGGAACACCCGUAGCGAAGGCGGCACCCUGGGCCGGUACUGACGCUGAGGAGCGAAAGCGUGGGGAGCAAACAGG